CUAUUUCUCGCCUGGUCACACUCAAGACACUUCUCUGGCCUUAUCUAACACCCAUGCACAUUGUGCUAGUCUCCAAGUAAAUUUAGCUACAAAGAUUUUUUUUUUAAUGUUCAGUACUGGAAUUCCCUCAGCCAUGUGACUCUGAGCCUCCUUAUCAGGUUCCAUGAAACUUGAUGACUGCAGAUCCUGAAGAAUCUAAGGUAGCAAAAUACUUUCCACUGAGAAGUCAAGGUUGUGUGUGAAACAGUGAAACAUGAGGUCUGGCCCCUAUUGCUAUUAUAAAAAUGUUAAGCUAUGUAAGCUUUUGGGAUGGCUUUUCUGCCAUCAGAGCAAUCUGUGGAACUGGUUGCCAAGGAGCCAGCAAAGGCUAGAUGAGUUC
This 379-nucleotide long non-coding RNA is filed under the name Homo sapiens (human). Its description in RNAcentral is "non-protein coding lnc-ANKRD66-1:1". Lineage: Eukaryota; Metazoa; Chordata; Mammalia; Primates; Hominidae. The record is from RNAcentral.